CCUACGGGUGGCAGCAGUGGGGAAUAUUGGGCAAUGGGCGCAAGCCUGACCCAGCAACGCCGCGUGAAGGAAGAAGGCUUUCGGGUUGUAAACUUCUUUUCUCAGGGACGAAGCAAGUGACGGUACCUGAGGAAUAAGCCACGGCUAACUACGUGCCAGCAGCCGCGGUAAUACGUAGGUGGCAAGCGUUAUCCGGAUUUACUGGGUGUAAAGGGCGUGUAGGCGGGACUGCAAGUCAGAUGUGAAAACCACGGGCUCAACCUGUGGCCUGCAUUUGAAACUGUAGUUCUGGAGUACUGGAAGGGCAGACGGAAUUCCUGGUGUAGCGGUGAAAUGCGUAGAUAUUAGGAGGAACACCGGUGGCGAAGGCAAUCUGCUGGACAGCAACUGACGCUGAGGCGCGAAAGCGUGGGUAGCAAACAGGAUUAGAUACCCCGGUAGUC
Molecule: ribosomal RNA, 443 nt
Filed under: uncultured bacterium
Lineage: Bacteria
Description: partial 16S ribosomal RNA
Rfam family: Bacterial small subunit ribosomal RNA
Source: RNAcentral